RNAcentral lists this long non-coding RNA (936 nucleotides) under Catharus ustulatus (Swainson's thrush). RNAcentral's name for it is "lncRNA (ENSCUSG00005000521.1)". Lineage: Eukaryota; Metazoa; Chordata; Aves; Passeriformes; Turdidae. The record is from RNAcentral.
UUCUUUAUGCACUGUGAAAGGAGGGGCUGUCCUGUGCCUCAGAUGCGCACAGAGCACCCAGGAAAACAGGCACAAUGAAAACAAUACUUUUUCCUCCACAUGAGAGGACAGAAAAUCUAUUUCCUAACAUAGAUCUUGCAGCAAAGGCCUUAUACCAACAGAAUAUUCUCUAUAAGCUUUGCUGUUUUUAUAAAAAUGGAAGAUGAGGAAAGCGUCCUCUCUUCAAAAAAUAAGUGAAAGCAUCAGGAGGGAGGGAUAUUUGGGAGGGCUGUUUGUUUUUAUUUCUUCAAUCUGAAAGUUUUUCUUUUUAUCAAAUAUUGAGCUGUCCUAUUGAAAAGAUAAUCUGAAAAUACUGAUUGGCUCAAAGUAGUUCUCUUUUGGGAUAAGGUUUCACCCAACAGGUUUCUGGGCAAAACUGAGUAUAGAGAAAACAAAAGACUGAAAUAAAUGAUGCCUCAACAGAAGCUUAUUGCAAUAGAUGUUCUUUCUUUCCCAGAACCCAGGCAGCACCUCCUGGCCACACCAAGUAACUCCUAAACUGGACUGAAAAAAAUGCCAAAAGCAAGCAAAAUUCCUUUGCAAUUGUUUCUCCUCCUCAAGAGGGCACCUGUAUCAAAUUAUUUGACAGGCACAGCUCUCUGUUGGUGUUCUAAAAGGGUCCACAUUGCACUUUCUGGUGUCAAACUUCCAAUUAUGGGUCAGCUAGCCAGGACCAGGAGAUUGUGUUGGAUUUACUAAGGCCAGCUUGGCUUAGACUUUCCUGAUGGCCAAGCGACUUUCAGACUCUCAGAAGACAUUUCAAUUUCAGACUGAGGGAAACAGGCAGAAGUUCAGGUGCUAUUUUAGCAGCUCCAGAGGUGCACAGAGCCCAUUGGUUCAUGGAAGGGGAAAAGUGGGACCUGCCAGCUCACAGCAAGUCAUUGAAGCAAUCCAAGC